This is a non-coding RNA of Perognathus longimembris pacificus (Pacific pocket mouse), 380 nucleotides long. RefSeq annotates it as small Cajal body-specific RNA 2. The record is from RefSeq and is a predicted model, not a curated record. The transcript has a single exon. NCBI's taxonomy places the organism in Eukaryota, Metazoa, Chordata, Mammalia, Rodentia, Heteromyidae.
AAGGGCGCGAGUCCGCGCGGCUGUGGGCGUCUGUGUGUGUGCGUGCGCGUGUGGGUCCGCGUGGAAGGUGCGUGCGUGGGCGCGUGAGUGUGCGUGGGGCGCGCGAGGGCCGCGCGGCCCGCCCCUCCCGGCUCCUACACGGUGAUCUUAUUUGAUCGGGCGGCGCCUCGGCCCCGCGGGGCCGCCCGAGAUGAGAAGCCCCCCUCCCGCGAAGCCGCCUGCGGGCCGGCGCUGUGCGGCGAGGCCCCGGGCGGGGUGGCGCCGCGGCCUCGGAGGCCGCGCGGGCCCCCGGGGCGCGGCGCUCGGAAGUGAUGAACUGAUCAGAUAGACGAGGCCGGGCCCGGCCCGCGCCGCUGCGUACCGAGGCGAUUCUGAUCCGA